UACGAAGGGGGCUAGCGUUGCUCGGAAUCACUGGGCGUAAAGGGUGCGUAGGCGGGUCUUUAAGUCAGGGGUGAAAUCCUGGAGCUCAACUCCAGAACUGCCUUUGAUACUGAAGAUCUUGAGUCCGGGAGAGGUGAGUGGAACUGCGAGUGUAGAGGUGAAAUUCGUAGAUAUUCGCAAGAACACCAGUGACGAAGGCGGCUCACUGGCCCGGUACUGACGCUGAGACGCGAAAGCGUGGGGAGCGAACAGG
Molecule: ribosomal RNA, 253 nt
Filed under: uncultured bacterium
Lineage: Bacteria
Description: partial 16S ribosomal RNA
Rfam family: Bacterial small subunit ribosomal RNA
Source: RNAcentral